RNAcentral lists this transfer RNA (73 nucleotides) under Ailuropoda melanoleuca (giant panda). It matches the Rfam family "tRNA". From Rfam's summary of the family: Transfer RNA (tRNA) molecules are approximately 80 nucleotides in length. Their secondary structure includes four short double-helical elements and three loops (D, anti-codon, and T loops). Lineage: Eukaryota; Metazoa; Chordata; Mammalia; Carnivora; Ursidae. The record is from Rfam by way of RNAcentral.
GCCUGGGUGGCUCAGUUGGUAGAGCAUGUGACUCUUGAUCUCAGGGUCAUGAGUUCAAGCCCCAUGAUGGGCA